This 553-nucleotide ribosomal RNA is filed under the name uncultured archaeon. RNAcentral's name for it is "bacterial SSU rRNA". It matches the Rfam family "Archaeal small subunit ribosomal RNA", at positions 326 to 879 of the family's 1478-position model. The record is from RNAcentral.
CGGGGUGCAGCAGGCGCGAAAACUUUACAAUGCCGGCAACGGCGAUAAGGGAACCUCGAGUGCCAGGUUACAAAUCUGGCUGUCGCGGUGCCUAAAAAGCACUGCAUAGCAAGGGCCGGGCAAGACCGGUGCCAGCCGCCGCGGUAACACCGGCGGCUCGAGUGGUAACCGUUAUUAUUGGGUCUAAAGGGUCUGUAGCCGGCCGGAUAAGUCUCUUGGGAAAUCCGGCAGCUCAACUGUCGGGCUUUCAGGAGAUACUGUCUGGCUCGAGGCCGGGAGAGGUGAGAGGUACUUCAGGGGUAGGGGUGAAAUCUUGUAAUCCUUGAAGGACCACCAGUGGCGAAGGCGUCUCACCAGAACGGACCUGACGGCAAGGGACGAAAGCUAGGGGCACGAACCGGAUUAGAUACCCGGGUAGUCCUAGCCGUAAACGAUACUCGCUAGGUGUCGGCCACGGUGCGACCGUGGUCGGUGCCGUAGGGAAGCCGUGAAGCGAGCCACCUGGGAAGUACGGCCGCAAGGCUGAAACUUAAAGGAAUUGGCGGGGGAGCAC